RNAcentral lists this ribosomal RNA (716 nucleotides) under uncultured archaeon. RNAcentral's name for it is "bacterial SSU rRNA". It matches the Rfam family "Archaeal small subunit ribosomal RNA", at positions 1 to 715 of the family's 1478-position model. The record is from RNAcentral.
UUCGCCCUUUUCCGGUUGAUCCUGCCGGACCUGACUGCUAUCGGAUUGAUACUAAGCCAUGCGAGUCAUUGUAGCAAUACAAGGCAGACGGCUCAGUAACGCGUAGUCAACCUAACCUAUGGACGGGAAUAACCUCGGGAAACUGAGAAUAAUGCCCGAUAGAACACUAUACCUGGAAUGGUUUGUGUUCCAAAUGAUUUAUCGCCGUAGGAUGGGACUGCGGCCUAUCAGUUUGUUGGUGAGGUAAUGGCCCACCAAGACUAUUACAGGUACGGGCUCUGAGAGGAGUAGCCCGGAGAUGGGUACUGAGACACGGACCCAGGCCCUAUGGGGCGCAGCAGGCGAGAAAACUUUGCAAUGUGCGAAAGCACGACAAGGUUAAUCCGAGUGAUUUGUGCUAAACGAAUCUUUUGUUAGUCCUAGAACCACUAACGAAUAAGGGGUGGGCAAGUUCUGGUGUCAGCCGCCGCGGUAAAACCAGCACCUCAAGUGGUCAGGAUGAUUAUUGGGCCUAAAGCAUCCGUAGCCGGCUCUGUAAGUUUUCGGUUAAAUCUGUACGCUUAACGUACAGGCUGCCGGGAAUACUGCAGAACUAGGGAGUGGGAGAGGUAGACGGUACUCGGUAGGAAGGGGUAAAAUCCUUUGAUCUAUUGAUGACCACCUGUGGCGAAGGCGGUCUACCAGAACACGUCCGACGGUGAGGGAUGAAAGCUGGG